RNAcentral lists this ribosomal RNA (254 nucleotides) under uncultured bacterium. Its description in RNAcentral is "partial 16S ribosomal RNA". It matches the Rfam family "Bacterial small subunit ribosomal RNA", at positions 524 to 776 of the family's 1533-position model. The record is from RNAcentral.
GACGGAGGGUGCUAGCGUUGUUCGGAAUCACUGGGCGUAAAGGGCGCGUAGGCGGCCUUGCAAGUCGGUUGGUGAAAGCCCGGGGCUCAACCCCGGAAAGCGGGUGGAUACUGCCGGGCUAGAAUCCGGAAGAGGCGAGUGGAAUUCCUGGUGUAGCGGUGAAAUGCGCAGAUAUCAGGAGGAACACCAAUGGCGAAGGCAGCUCGCUGGGACGGUACUGACGCUGAGGCGCGAAAGCGUGGGGAGCAAACAGG